GAUGAACGCUAGCUACAGGCUUAACACAUGCAAGUCGAGGGGUAACGAGAGGAAAGCUUGCUUUCCUUGUCGACGACCGGCGCACGGGUGAGUAACGCGUAUCCAACCUGCCCCCAACUAGGGAAUAACCUUGCGAAAGUAAGACUAAUACCCUAUAAUUUCCUCAGAUGACAUCUGACGAGGAAUAAAGAUUUAUCGGUUGUGGAUGGGGAUGCGUCUGAUUAGCUUGUUGGCGGGGUAACGGCCCACCAAGGCAACGAUCAGUAGGGGUUCUGAGAGGAAGGUCCCCUAUAUUGGAACUGAGACACAGUCCAAACUCCUACGGGAGGCAGCAGUGAGGAAUAUUGGUCAAUGGGCGGAGGCCUGAACCAGCCAAGUAGCGUGCAGGAUGACGGCCCUAUGGGUUGUAAACUGCUUUUAUACAGGAAUAAAGUUAGCCACGUGUGGUUAUUUGUAGGUACUGUAUGAAUAAGGACCGGCUAAUUCCGUGCCAGCAGCCGCAGUAA
RNAcentral lists this ribosomal RNA (506 nucleotides) under uncultured bacterium. RNAcentral's name for it is "partial 16S ribosomal RNA". It matches the Rfam family "Bacterial small subunit ribosomal RNA", at positions 28 to 523 of the family's 1533-position model. The record is from RNAcentral.